Long non-coding RNA from Lutra lutra (Eurasian river otter), 592 nucleotides. RefSeq lists it as uncharacterized. Lineage: Eukaryota; Metazoa; Chordata; Mammalia; Carnivora; Mustelidae. The record is from RefSeq and is a predicted model, not a curated record. The transcript is spliced from 3 exons.
CAUGUGGCUCAUAAUGACCCCAGGAAGUGGGUUGGCAUCCUUCUUUACUUCACAGAUGGGCAAACCGAGGGUCACAGGAGCUGAUUUGUCCUGGGCACAAGGAAGCCCUUGACUCAUAUAAACAGCUGUUGGUUUAAGGAACAGCCCUCAUUUUGCGGUACAGCACCCUCACCUCCAAGAGUGUCACCGCAGCUCCUUGUGCAGAGUCUCAGAAGCUCAAUCCAUCUGUGCUCCAAGCCAGUGAUUUCGUUUUAUAAGGCACAUGGUAAAAACAUUAAUUGUAGGACACUCCUGAGAAUGAAAAGAGGAGCUAAUAGGGCACCGGGACACGAGGGAUGACGCAAGACGCUGGGGCAAAUCUGAGUGCACGAUCACCUAUGAACUGAGUACCUAGCCCCAGUUUCUGCUGAUGACCCUCUCAGUGCUCAGCAGUAGCGAUGGCCAGUCCACUUGGUGAAGGAUGUCCAGCUUUUCCAGCCCACGCGCAGUCUUCGCUCCUGAUGCCGUCGAUGUGUUUUGCAUAGGCCCAUGGAAAAGGGGCCUGAUCCUAGCAUCUGUAGUAUGUUGAAGUCAUCCUUCUAACUACUAAGGG